UACGGGGGGGGCAAGCGUUGUUCGGAAUUACUGGGCGUAAAGGGCUCGUAGGCGGCCAACUAAGUCAGACGUGAAAUCCCUCGGCUUAACCGGGGAACUGCCUCUGAUACUGGGGAUCUUGAGUCCGGGAGAGGUGAGUGGAACUGCGAGUGUAGAGGUGAAAUUCGUAGAUAUUCGCAAGAACACCAGUGGCGAAGGCGGCUCACUGGCCCGGUACUGACGCUGAGGUGCGAAAGCGUGGGGAGCAAACAGG
RNAcentral lists this ribosomal RNA (253 nucleotides) under uncultured bacterium. RNAcentral's name for it is "partial 16S ribosomal RNA". It matches the Rfam family "Bacterial small subunit ribosomal RNA", at positions 524 to 776 of the family's 1533-position model. The record is from RNAcentral.